Molecule: non-coding RNA, 653 nt
Organism: Pogona vitticeps (central bearded dragon)
Lineage: Eukaryota; Metazoa; Chordata; Lepidosauria; Squamata; Agamidae
Source: RefSeq, a predicted model, not a curated record
AGGAGAAAACUAGCAUCCUAAUAUCUUGUUAAAAGGAGAUCAAGAAAAUGUUGUUUGGCUUCCAGUUUGACUCCCAGUCGUGAACAUUGCCCUCCCCCUUUUCUUUUCUUGUUUUACAGAAUUGACAUAGUUUACAGAGGCUUAGUGCUUUGAUCCCAGCAAUGUACAGUACUACAUAAAGAAAGUAAAGUACUCUUAUGAAUUUAGCAACAGGCAAGAUAUUUGACUUCACCCCACCUUCUUUUCAGCUUCAUUGCUGUACCUUUAAAACAGAAUCUGGCACAAAGAAUCGAGUAGCUGAGGUUUUCCUGACAUGAACACAGUAAGGAUAAAUGCUUCAGCUGCCCAAUUUCUUCAUGGCAGACGUACCUGACAGGCAAAAGAAGAAGGCCUAGCAGAAACUGUACAAUAAUAAAGUUAUCCAUUCUUCAGGUGACUGAAAGGCACAAAAGGUGACAAGAGUUAAUUGUAUUAGCCCUCUGCAUAUGCAACAGCAAUAUCCAGUGGGACACCAAGCAGCUUGCGGACCAUUUCAUGAACAGCUCUAUAUCAGGAUCACCCUAUGCGCAUGACAAGAUGGUCCUGGGAGGCAUACAUUCAGCUCUUCAACGGGCGAUACUGGUUCCUCUUUAACAGAUAAUGCUGGGCAGAAC